RNAcentral lists this ribosomal RNA (534 nucleotides) under Trichoderma asperellum. Its description in RNAcentral is "eukaryotic LSU rRNA". The stretch from base 199 to 352 matches the Rfam family "5.8S ribosomal RNA". Lineage: Eukaryota; Fungi; Ascomycota; Sordariomycetes; Hypocreales; Hypocreaceae. The record is from RNAcentral.
GCGGAGGGAUCAUUACCGAGUUUACAACUCCCAAACCCAAUGUGAACGUUACCAAACUGUUGCCUCGGCGGGGUCACGCCCCGGGUGCGUCGCAGCCCCGGAACCAGGCGCCCGCCGGAGGAACCAACCAAACUCUUUCUGUAGUCCCCUCGCGGACGUAUUUCUUACAGCUCUGAGCAAAAAUUCAAAAUGAAUCAAAACUUUCAACAACGGAUCUCUUGGUUCUGGCAUCGAUGAAGAACGCAGCGAAAUGCGAUAAGUAAUGUGAAUUGCAGAAUUCAGUGAAUCAUCGAAUCUUUGAACGCACAUUGCGCCCGCCAGUAUUCUGGCGGGCAUGCCUGUCCGAGCGUCAUUUCAACCCUCGAACCCCUCCGGGGGAUCGGCGUUGGGGAUCGGGACCCCUCACACGGGUGCCGGCCCCGAAAUACAGUGGCGGUCUCGCCGCAGCCUCUCCUGCGCAGUAGUUUGCACAACUCGCACCGGGAGCGCGGCGCGUCCACGUCCGUAAAACACCCAACUUCUGAAAUGUGACCU